UACGGAGGGUGCAAGCGUUAUCCGGAUUCACUGGGUUUAAAGGGUGCGUAGGCGGGCAGGGAAGUCCGUGGUGAAAUCUCCGGGCUUAACUCGGAAACUGCCGUGGAUACUCUCUGUCUUGAAUACUGUGGAGGUGAGCGGAAUAUGUCAUGUAGCGGUGAAAUGCUUAGAGAUGACAUAGAACACCAAUUGCGAAGGCAGCUCACUGCGCAGUGAUUGACGCUGAGGCACGAAAGCGUGGGGAUCAAACAGGAUUAGAAACCCCCGUAGUCC
Molecule: ribosomal RNA, 273 nt
Filed under: uncultured bacterium
Lineage: Bacteria
Description: partial 16S ribosomal RNA
Rfam family: Bacterial small subunit ribosomal RNA
Source: RNAcentral